AGGAAGUAAAAGUCGUAACAAGGUCUCCGUUGGUGAACCAGCGGAGGGAUCAUUACUGAGUUUACGCUCUACAACCCUUUGUGAACAUACCUACAACUGUUGCUUCGGCGGGUAGGGUCUCCGCGACCCUCCCGGCCUCCCGCCUCCGGGCGGGUCGGCGCCCGCCGGAGGAUAACCAAACUCUGAUUUAACGACGUUUCUUCUGAGUGGUACAAGCAAAUAAUCAAAACUUUUAACAACGGAUCUCUUGGUUCUGGCAUCGAUGAAGAACGCAGCGAAAUGCGAUAAGUAAUGUGAAUUGCAGAAUUCAGUGAAUCAUCGAAUCUUUGAACGCACAUUGCGCCCGCCAGCAUUCUGGCGGGCAUGCCUGUUCGAGCGUCAUUUCAACCCUCAAGCUCUGCUUGGUGUUGGGGCCCUACAGCCGAUGUAGGCCCUCAAAGGUAGUGGCGGACCCUCCCGGAGCCUCCUUUGCGUAGUAACUUUACGUCUCGCACUGGGAUCCGGAGGGACUCUUGCCGUAAAACCCCCCAAUUUUCCAAAGGUUGACCUCGGAUCAGGUAGGAAUACCCGCUGAACUUAAGCAUA
This 585-nucleotide ribosomal RNA is filed under the name Colletotrichum gloeosporioides. RNAcentral describes it as "eukaryotic LSU rRNA". The stretch from base 228 to 381 matches the Rfam family "5.8S ribosomal RNA". Lineage: Eukaryota; Fungi; Ascomycota; Sordariomycetes; Glomerellales; Glomerellaceae. The record is from RNAcentral.